This 495-nucleotide ribosomal RNA is filed under the name uncultured bacterium. RNAcentral describes it as "partial 16S ribosomal RNA". It matches the Rfam family "Bacterial small subunit ribosomal RNA", at positions 28 to 507 of the family's 1533-position model. The record is from RNAcentral.
GACGAACGCUGGCGGCGUGCCUAAUACAUGCAAGUAGAACGCUGAAGGAGGAGCCUGCUCUUCUGGAUGAGUUGCGAACGGGUGAGUAACGCGUAUGUAACCUGCCUGGUAGCGGGGGAUAACUAUUGGAAACGAUAGCUAAUACCGCAUAACAGUAGAUGUUGCAUGACAUUUACUUAAAAGGUGCAAUUGCAUCACUACCAGAUGGACCUGCGUCGGAUUAGCUAGUUGGUGGGGUAACGGCUCACCAAAGCGACGAUACAUAGUCGACCUUGGAGGGUGGUCCGGCAAAAUGGGAAUGGGGCAAGGCCCAGGCUUCUACGGGGAGCAACAAGUGGGGAACUUUGGCAAAUGGGGGAAAGCUGGACGAAGAAAGCCCGGGUGGGGGAGGAAGUUUUCCGGUCGGUAAACUCUGUUGUUUGGGAAGGAAGAGUGGGAGAGUGAAAAGUUCACACUGUGACGGUAUCUAACCAGAAAGCGACGGCUAACUACGUG